RNAcentral lists this transfer RNA (68 nucleotides) under Synapturanus sp. USNM 588794. RNAcentral's name for it is "tRNA-His". The record is from RNAcentral. Lineage: Eukaryota; Metazoa; Chordata; Amphibia; Anura; Microhylidae.
GUGAGUGUAGUUUAACUAAAACUCUAAGUUGUGAUCUUAGAAAUGAGUACUAACCUACUCCACUCACC